This 253-nucleotide ribosomal RNA is filed under the name uncultured bacterium. Its description in RNAcentral is "partial 16S ribosomal RNA". It matches the Rfam family "Bacterial small subunit ribosomal RNA", at positions 524 to 776 of the family's 1533-position model. The record is from RNAcentral.
UACGGAGGGUGCAAGCGUUAUCCGGAUUCACUGGGUUUAAAGGGUGCGUAGGCGGGCUUGUAAGUCAGUGGUGAAAUCCCAGAGCUUAACUCUGGAACUGCCAUUGAUACUGCAAGUCUUGAAUAUCCUAGAGGUGGGCGGAAUACAUCAUGUAGCGGUGAAAUGCUUAGAUAUGAUGUAGAACACCGAUUGCGAAGGCAGCUCACUAUGGGAUGUUUGACGCUGAGGCACGAAAGCGUGGGGAUCAAACAGG